This 1972-nucleotide ribosomal RNA is filed under the name human gut metagenome. Its description in RNAcentral is "bacterial LSU rRNA". It matches the Rfam family "Bacterial large subunit ribosomal RNA", at positions 1 to 1983 of the family's 2925-position model. The record is from RNAcentral.
GAAAGUAAAGAAGGGCGCAUGGCGGAUGCCUUGGCUCUCGGAGGCGAUGAAGGACGUGAUAAGCUGCGAUAAGCUUUGGGGAGGUGCAAAUGACCUUUGAUCCAGAGAUUUCCGAAUGGGACAACCCAAUAUCUUGAAGAGGUAUUAUCCAACGUUGUUGGAGGCUAACGCAGGGAACUGAAACAUCUUAGUACCUGCAGGAAAAGAAAAUAAACAAUGAUUCCCCCAGUAGUGGCGAGCGAACGGGGAACAGCCCAAACCAUCCAUGUUACGGCAUGGGUGGGGUUGUAGGACUACGCCGUUGCAUGAAGACAUCAGAGAAGAACUUUCUGGAAAGAAAGACCAUAGAGCAUGACAGUUGCGUAUUCGAAUGUUGUCGAAGCAUAGUAGUAUCCUGAGUAGCGCGGAGCACGAGGAAUUCUGCGUGAAUCUGCCGGGACCAUCCGGUAAGGCUAAAUACUCCCGAGAGACCGAUAGCGAACCAGUACCGUGAGGGAAAGGUGAAAAGCACUUCGAACAGAAGAGUGAAAUAGUUCCUGAAACCGUGCGCCUACAAGCGGUCGGAGCUCGUUAAUGAGUGACGGCGUGCCUUUUGCAUAAUGAACCUACGAGUUGCCUUUGCCGGCAAGGUUAAGUGUGACGACACACGUAUCCGAAGCGAAAGCGAGUCUGAACAGGGCGUAUAGUCGGCAGUGGCAGACGCGAAACCAAGUGAUCUACCCUUGGCCAGGUUGAAGGCUGGGUAACACCAGCUGGAGGACCGCACCAAUAAGCGUUGAAAAGCUUCUGGAUGAGCUGAGGGUAGGGGUGAAAGGCUAAUCAAACUUGGAGAUAGCUCGUACUCCCCGAAAUGCAUUUAGGUGCAGCCUUGCGGGUUACUGAUGUGAGGUAGAGCGACUGAUAAGAUGCGAGGGCUUCACCGCCUAUCAAGUCUUGACAAACUCCGAAUGCGCAUCAGUUCUACCGCAGGAGUGAGGGCAUGGGUGCUAAGGUCCGUGCCCGAGAGGAGAAGAAUCCGGACCACCUGCUAAGGUCCCGAAAUGACAGCUAAGUUAAACUAACGAAGUCUGACUGCUAAGACAGCUAGGAUGUUGGCUUGGAAGCAGCCAUUCAUUUAAAGAGUGCGUAACAGCUCACUAGUCGAGGAGUCGGGCGUGGAUAAUAAUCGGGUAUGAAGUUGUCUACCGAAGCAGUGGGAUCAUUAAUAUGAUCGGUAGGGGAGCAUUCCAGUCAGCGUCGAAGGCGUACCGUGAGGUAUUCUGGAGCGUCUGGAAAAGCAAAUGUAGGUAUAAGUAACGAUAAAGGGGGCGGGAAACCCCCUCGCCGAAAGACUAAGGUUUCCUGAUCAACGCUAAUCGGAUCAGGGUCAGUCGGGUCCUAAGGCUCAGCCGAACGGCGAUGCCGAUGGCAGAAACGGUUAAUAUUCCGUUACUACCUUCAGGAGUGACGUGGAGACGCAGUAGUGACAGUGCCGCCAUCUGACGGAAUAGAUGGUUGAAGGGUGUAGGAGUCGAUCAUGGCAGGCAAAUCCACCAUGAGAUCCGAACCUGACAGUAUGCCGCGUCCUUCGGGACAAGGCAAUAGUGCGCGUAAGCAUGCUGCCGAGAAAAUCCGCUAAACUUAAUCCUGCAGGUACCCGUACCGCAAACGGACACACGUAGUCGGGAUGAAUAUUCUAAGGCGCUUGAGUGAUUCACGGUUAAGGAACUAGGCAAACUGACCCUGUAACUUCGGGAUAAAGGGUCCCUACCCUUUUAUGGGAGGGCGCAGAGAAUCGGUCCAGGCAACUGUUUAACAAAAACACAGGGCUGUGCCAAAUCGAAAGAUCCAGUAUACAGCCUGACACCUGCCCGGUGCUGGAAGGUUAAGAGGAGAUGUCAUCGAUAAGAGAAGCGUUGAAUUGAAGCCCCAGUAAACGGCGGCCGUAACUAUAACGGUCCUAAGGUAGCGAAAUUCCUUGUCGGGUAAGUUC